RNAcentral lists this long non-coding RNA (271 nucleotides) under Lathyrus oleraceus (garden pea). RNAcentral's name for it is "Pisum sativum (pea) long non-coding RNA (PSAT_LNC020841)". Lineage: Eukaryota; Viridiplantae; Streptophyta; Magnoliopsida; Fabales; Fabaceae. The record is from RNAcentral.
AGAUGCGCUGUUAAAAGUCAUUUUUGGCGUAGUGCAACAAAUAUUCCCAAAAGAAAAAAUAAUAGUAGAACAUCUUGCAACAAAAAAUAUGUUAUUUCUUUCCUCAAUCCUCCAAAAAUAUUCCAAAAUCAAUCUCAAAUUAAAACCAGAUCAAACACUAAUUUUCCUUCACAAAUAAAAAUAGAAAAAAAUCAUAAUAUUUUUUUACCACCUAUUACUUUGUAGUUUAUUUCUCUUUUUGUUUUUAACUUUAUAAUUUUUCUAUAUUUCU